This 222-nucleotide ribosomal RNA is filed under the name Triticum aestivum (bread wheat). Its description in RNAcentral is "partial small subunit ribosomal RNA". The record is from RNAcentral. Lineage: Eukaryota; Viridiplantae; Streptophyta; Magnoliopsida; Poales; Poaceae.
AUGAGAAGAUCACCAGGAGCCUCCCCAUCCUCGUCUCCUUCGUCUACGACCGUUGAAUCAAGUCGGGCCACGCCGUACACUCGGCGUGGAGCACAACUUCCUUGCGUACGUCGCUGGCAUCCGGCAUCGUUUGCUGCGGCUCCGGUCCAACCCCGACCUCCCAAGCUCGUCGUCGAGCAUCUCAGUGAGCCACUCUUCCGAAACACCACUCCCUGUUAUUGA